This 450-nucleotide ribosomal RNA is filed under the name uncultured bacterium. Its description in RNAcentral is "partial 16S ribosomal RNA". It matches the Rfam family "Bacterial small subunit ribosomal RNA", at positions 354 to 796 of the family's 1533-position model. The record is from RNAcentral.
GUGGGGAAUCUUCCGCAAUGGACGAAAGUCUGACGGAGCAACGCCGCGUGAGUGAAGAAGGUUUUCGGAUCGUAAAGCUCUUUCGUCAGGGACGAACGUAUUUCUUGUAAAUAAUGAGAGAUAGUGACGGUACCUGAAUAAGAAGCCACGGCUAACUACGUGCCAGCAGCCGCGGUAAUACGUAGGUGGCAAGCGUUGUCCGGAAUUAUUGGGCGUAAAGUGCGCGCAGGCGGGAUAUCAAGUCUGUCUUAAAAGUGCGAGGCUCAACCUCGUGAGGGGACAGAAACUGGUAUUCUUGAGUGUCGGAGAGGAAAGUGGAAUUCCAAGUGUAGCGGUGAAAUGCGUAGAGAUUUGGAAGAACACCAGUGGCGAAGGCGACUUUCUGGACGAUGUCUGACGCUGAGGCGCGAAAGCUAGGGGAGCGAACGGGAUUAGAAACCCCUGUAGUCC